CGGUAAUACGUAGGGUGCAAGCGUAAUCGGAAUUACUGGGCGUAAAGCGUGCGCAGGCGGUUGUGCAAGACCGAUGUGAAUUCCCCGGGCUUAACCUGGGAAUGGCAUUGUGACUGUACGGCUAGAGUGUGUCGGAGGGGGGUAGAAUUCCACGUGUAGCAGUGAAAUGCGUAGAGAUGUGGAGGAAUACCGAUGGCGAAGGCAGCCCCCUGGGAUAACACUGACGCUCAUGCACGAAAGCGUGGGGAGCAAACAGGAUUAGAUACCCUGGUAGUCCACGCCCUAAAUGUCUGUUGUCGGGUCUUCAUCGACUUGGUAACGCAGCUAACGCGUGAAGUAGACCGCCUGGGGAGUACGGUCGCAAGAUUAAAACUCAAAGGAAUUGACGGGGACCCGCACAAGCGGUGGAUGAUGUGGAUUAAUUCGAUGCAACGCGAAAAACCUUACCUACCCACAUGGAUGGAAGCCUGAAGAGAUUGCGUGCCCGAAAGGGAGCCAUCACACAGGUGCUGCAUG
Molecule: ribosomal RNA, 516 nt
Filed under: uncultured beta proteobacterium
Lineage: Bacteria; Pseudomonadati; Pseudomonadota; Betaproteobacteria
Description: bacterial SSU rRNA
Rfam family: Bacterial small subunit ribosomal RNA
Source: RNAcentral